Molecule: ribosomal RNA, 270 nt
Filed under: Salmonella enterica subsp. enterica serovar Newport
Lineage: Bacteria; Pseudomonadati; Pseudomonadota; Gammaproteobacteria; Enterobacterales; Enterobacteriaceae
Description: partial 23S ribosomal RNA
Rfam family: Bacterial large subunit ribosomal RNA
Source: RNAcentral
CUGCGAUAAGCGCCGGUAAGGUGAUAUGAACCGUUAUAACCGGCGAUACCCGAAUGGGGAAACCCAGUGUGAUUCGUCACACUAUCAUUAACUGAAUCCAUAGGUUAAUGAGGCGAACCGGGGGAACUGAAACAUCUAAGUACCCCGAGGAAAAGAAAUCAACCGAGAUUCCCCCAGUAGCGGCGAGCGAACGGGGAGGAGCCCAGAGCCUGAAUCAGCAUGUGUGUUAGUGGAAGCGUCUGGAAAGGCGCGCGAUACAGGGUGACAGCC